Long non-coding RNA from Leopardus geoffroyi (Geoffroy's cat), 304 nucleotides. RefSeq lists it as uncharacterized. Lineage: Eukaryota; Metazoa; Chordata; Mammalia; Carnivora; Felidae. The record is from RefSeq and is a predicted model, not a curated record. The transcript is spliced from 2 exons.
GAUCGUGACCUGAGUCGAAGCCAGAUGCUUAACAGACUGGAGCCAUCCAGAGGACAUGCAGUUUAUGAAAAUCCUUUGGUUAUCCUAUCAUAUAAAGAAUUGGUAAUACCAGCAAAUAAUACAACAGAACACCAAGGGACAACAAAACAGAGGCUGAAAAAGAACUCGACACUGUCCAGUGCGAUACAGUGGUUCUGUGAAGAUAACACCGGCAUUCGUUCCCCUCGGAAAACCCCUCCUGUCUUUUUGUUUGCUUCUGUGUUCCAAAUCCUGGGUCAAAUAAAAGCUAAAGUAUUAAAUAUGA